GGAAUAGAACUGCAGAUACAUAUUAUACUAAAAUCCACCAUGACAGAUGAAUAUGAUGCCAAGGAUUAGAUUUGAAAAAAGUUCUUCUCCUCUCUACAUUUGAUGAAAGCCAUUUUCAGUGGGAAUAGAACUGCAGACGCAUAUACCAAAAUCCACCAUGACAGACGAAUAUGCUGCCAACUACAGUUUUAGAUUUAAAACUCCUUUCUACAUCUGAUGGAAACCAUUUUCAGACCAAGAGCAGAGAGACUACGCCUCAUGAAGCUCAAAUCGAGGACGAUAGCAGUUCAAAGUAAAAAUAUAUAAUUAGUAAUAAAUUGAAAGUUCAAUUUUUGUAAUAUUUAAUAAAAAUCAUUGCAUUUUAUUGAAAA
Long non-coding RNA from Nilaparvata lugens (brown planthopper), 371 nucleotides. RefSeq lists it as uncharacterized. NCBI's taxonomy places the organism in Eukaryota, Metazoa, Arthropoda, Insecta, Hemiptera, Delphacidae. The record is from RefSeq and is a predicted model, not a curated record. The transcript is spliced from 3 exons.